GUUGCCUCAAGACCUGAAAAUGAAUGAGCAUCAUCCCUUAAAGUGUUAACACGGAAGCAUCAAACCAAGAACAAUGAGAUAAAUCCUGUUUGCACAUCAUUUCCACUGCGUCACUCUUCUUUGUCUACAUUCUGAAGAAAUCGCACUGAAAACCUGUCUAAAUAUUCAUACUCUUUUUGAGCUUAAAUUUCAGUGGCCAAUUUCAUACUAUAUUGGAAAGUUUUGUCUAAUAAGAGCCGGACCUGUGUAUCCUGUAUAGAUUUUUGCCAGCAGAGGAUAUUGUCCUGAGUGCCAGCAUUUUGGGGGAUGUUGAACUGUAUCAGCUGAAGAGCUAUAGUCUAUCAGUUAUUAGCACUAUUCCUUUGUCUUGGACAUACUUAUGUUCGAAAGCAGUUUCUUCUCCCUCAAGAACUCAUUAAAUGUAUUCACCAAA
Molecule: non-coding RNA, 433 nt
Filed under: Pongo abelii (Sumatran orangutan)
Lineage: Eukaryota; Metazoa; Chordata; Mammalia; Primates; Hominidae
Source: RNAcentral